CUGCAGGUGCAGCGCUGUCUCUGUCUCCAGGAGUGGAGGAAGCUGAAUUGCAGCAGGAAGGGAUACCUCAGCUCCUUCUUUCCAUUACAGCCUUGAGACCUGCUCAACCAGCUGCCAUUAUACUGGAGGGUUCCAAGGAGUCACAAAAUUUGCUUUUUCCUUGCCUGACUUCUGAUAAGUAGGACUAGCUGGGGACACAAAAUAUGACUCUUUCCCCCUGCUCUGGUGUCCAAAAUACACAUGGGCUGAUGCACUGGGAGAAGUCAGGGAAUGCCCAGUGCCCACACGGGUGAAGUGAGAGCUGCCACAAGGCCAUCAGUGGAUGCACAGCUCCAGGACAGCCCGUGGUGCCUCCACUGAACCUGGCCAGGAGAGCAGAGGAAUGGGCCUGUUUGCCCAGUUAAACCACUGGCCACUCACUCCAGCCAUGCCUGUGGGAGGGAGAGCUCGUGAAGCCAUGGUGAGAGCUGCGGCUGGGAGCUGUUCCCGCAGGCAGAUGGGGACUGCACAUGGAGGAGGAGGCUCUAGAUGGUGCUGCUGUCCCGGGAAAGAAAAGCUGGGAUCUGUAUCCACCGAUAAUAGAAGCUCCAAUAAAGGCAGUGUAAAAUGAGCAAGUCAGAGGGACUGAGAAAACCAGGGCGGCUCAGAGCUGCGGGAGCACCUUGGCAGGCUGCUUCCUGGGAACAAGAAACAGGCCAGUUGUCAUCCUCCCCAAAUGUGGGCUGCAUCCCAGGACCCCUGGAGUCAGCAGAUCAGCAGCAGUGGAUGUUAGAGGGAGAAUGAAACCACAGCAGCUCUGCUGAAGCCCUUGAAAGGUGAGUAAAGUUCAUAGCCCUUCCACUUCCAGUAAGUCUGGAAUUUGGAUCUUGAUCCACAGAGGCACUUAGGUCCCUGACUCCCAGUGGUUUCCUUGCCAUGGUGCAGGUCAGGAGCUGAGUCCCUAAAUAACUGGUGGCUGUGAGCCCAGUCUCUCAGAUGUAUCUAACAUUACUUGUGUUAUUGUUGUGUAUUGAGAUCCUGACUGGAAUCUGGGCUCCUUGAAAUAGAGACAGAGACACACAGGCUGGGAUUUAGGUGGCCAAGUGUUGAAAUUUAUGGUGUGGGUGCCACAUCAGAGCUGUAGACAAUGGAAACAGUACAGAAAAUACAGUUCCUGUAGAGUGGGACAUCAUGAAGUAGUCACCUAAAGCUGAUCUUCUGAGAAAGUCUCUUUCUCUUCAUCGACUGCAAGGGAAGCUGGAGUUAAUCUAUAUUACUGGUAUCUAAAUGGAGGUAGGAGGUGUCCCAUUCAGAAUGGAAGGAAUUCCUUCUCCAAGGAGGCCAUGAUGUUGUAUAAUCAAGGCAGCUUGAGCUGGGCUGUGAAAAGCAGAGACAGUGGAUUUUAGACAAGGCCCAGCCAGCAGAGCCAGGAGUUGGCACAAGCUGUGACAGUCGAGGCUGUUAGCCACUCCUGAAAUCUUGGUCUGCCUGGUGUUCUCUCUGAUCCUCUUCUCUCUCUCCUCUUGCUCUCUGGCUCAGUUGUUUUGAUUAUGUGAAGGACAAACUCUUCUUUCUUGCAGCCUUUGCCCAAAAAUCUAGCAAGACACUUUAUUUCUGGCUUCCAACAUCUUUGGAGCAGAUCAACAAAUUUUAGAAACCUAAUUCUCCAGUGGUAGCAAAUAGGAACAUUUCACCUGACCUCAAAAAGUUUUAGAUCAGCUGGGGCUGAUCCAAGCAUCACAGAAGCAUUUUAUCUUCUGUGAUGUACUUCAGAGAAAGAUGGCAAACCAGGAAAAUGUUUGCUGAGUUUUGUUUUAUGGAUUAUAGGAGGCUUUUUGUUCAUUUCUGAGUUGUCUGGGGUAAACCCUAAAGCGUCAGUCUUUAGAUGUUCUGCUCAGAUGAUGUCAGAGCAGAUGGUGAGGGAAUAUUUUCACCUCAGCCUCUCCAUGUGCACUCAGGCAGCUCAGCUCCACAGGCCUGUGCCCAUUCCUGCAGUACACAUGCAAGAUAAUAGCACGUUCUCUUUUCUCACAUCAAAUGCUGGGUGUGUUUCCACCCCUUAGAUAAACUUUAUGGUGUUUCUGUUUCCCUUCUUCCCGUGGUACUGAUUAUCCCAGAAAUAGAUAGGCACUGGAAAACUGUGUUCUGGAUCUGAACUAUUUCUGCAUUGCAUCUGGCAUCGUGACUGGAUCCAUUUUCCCAUUUGGGAAUGUGAUAAUUCUCUAUUUGCCCUUGUGCCAAAUUUUCUGUCUUUAAAUAUUUUUCUUUUUUUUUUUCCCCUACAGGCAUGGAUUGAAUUUUUUGUCAUUUCAAGUGCUUUUUGUUCGAAUUUUUUUGUUUUCAUCUUCCAACUUGUGCAUCUUUCUGCUCCUCUUUUCUAUGAACUUCUGCUGUCUCCCACCCUGGUCUCACAACAGGGACUAACAGCUGAAGCUUCUGCAGUUAAAACACAGCAACAGUGGGGCUCUGUGUUCUGAAGGGAAAAGAAAGAAGACAAAGGCUAUCUUUAAGUUCAGCUUUGCCUGAAGAGAAGCUCAAAUCCUGGGUAAGAUGCUCACCUGUUGAUCAGACUGAGAUUUCAGCACUCUGCAGUUAUUCUGGAAGGAUGUGAAACUUCCCCAGGAGGAAUUUGAUACAGAAAACUUUGGUGUCCUUUUGGGAAGAGCAAUGCUUCAGUGCUGGGUUUUCUACCCAGUUGAGUGUGGGAUGGGGUUAGCUCAUGUCUGUGGAGAUGAUGGCAUAGAGGUUUCACUUUUAUUGUUUGUUUCAGGGAAGAUGUGUCUGUGGUUAGGACAGAGCCAAACACCAGACAAGACAAGACACAACCAAAAUGAGUGCCCAGUGGCCAGAAUGGGCUGGGAAUGGAGUGACCACAAAGGGGCAACACAAAGUGCCACCAGAGUCCUGGACUGCAGGGAUUUACUGUGCUUCCCUGUGCUUCCCACAGCCAUCACCAGAGCACCACACUGCCUCACUGCUCACCCAGACUCAGCCUAACAGUUCUGCACAUUUAUUUUGGAACUGGUUUCCCCAGUUUGGUAUUUCUCAGGGUUUCAAGCAAACUGGGAAAAAAAUGUUCAAGAUGCAAAAGAUGUGACACUGUCCAUGGGGAGGGGUCUCCUUGCUCCUUUCCAAUUUCUGCACAAAAGGAAUAUCAGAAAGAAAAGAGCUCCUGCCUGAGGCAGGGAGAGUGACCCCUCUGAACAGAUAACACCAUCACAAAUACACAGCCUGCAGUCUUUGGAACGGGCCAGGCUGCUCCACAUUUUCUUAUUGAGAUGUUUUCCUUCUCUAGAACAUAAACCAAAAAAAGAAGACCCUUUGCCACAUUCCCAAAUGAUCUACCAAAGCUCAGGAAACUGGAUCAAGAGGUGGAGGAUGCUGAGCUGUGUCUGCCACUGCUUUGGCACCAUAAAUGACCUGGAACCACAGCCUGCAAGUGUUUGGUGUGGGGCAGGGAAUCCCACAGGACUGUAGGGAAAUGACCCUAAUAGGAGUGAAAAGUAAUGAUUUGUUUUUUCAGGAUGGUGGUCCAGGGAUUUCUGGUGUGUGAGCUGGUGAAUCACCUAUGAGCUGAUAUUGACUUUUACGUUUACUUCACAUGGAAAGGUAAAUUCAGUCUCCAAGAACACUGCAGCUUUGGAGGCUCCAGCAUGAACUUGGGGCAUCUCCUGACAAGGGAGACAGGACCUUGCCCAUGAUUUGCAAAGCUCUUUCAGAUCCUUGAGAUGCAAUUAUUAUUUCAACACUAUUGUGAAAUCUCGAGGGUCGUGACUGAAGAAAUAAUUGGUUGUAUGGAAAUAAGGAUGAGUUAUUUCAGCAGAUGACAGGACUAUCCAGCACUAUAAUAAUAACAUUUUAAAGAAUGGAUAAACAACAGCUAUGGGAAAGACAUAAACUUUUAUAUUUCAGGGCAUAACUAUUGUGAGUCAGGAAGUAAUUCUCCUUUUAGGCCAUUUAUUCUGUAACUGGUGGCUGCAACUGGAGCUGGACACCCUCAGAAUCAAUAACCCAUGGCAGAGGCACCUCUGAUUGUUUGUUACUUCCAUGUUUUGCAAUUAAUUCAUUGGGAUAAACAAGCUUUUGUUGUCCUAUUGCAAAUUUGACCACCUCCCCACUCCUUGUAUUCCCAUACUUUAUAUUCUUCUUGGCACUAGCUGUGUGCUUUCAGUCAACAUGUUUUAGCUUUCCAAGACUGUAAGGCAUGACUUGGGGGCACAGUCACAUUUACAUCCCUUUGCAGAUGGCCUGUAUCUAGCACUGUCAGUCCUUGGGUUUUAUUUUUUCCUGUCUUUAUGCUGAGGGACAGACCCUGUUCAGUGGGUCUUUGUGAUUCUAAUCUUUUUCAUGCAGUUUGAGGAGCAAUGAACUUGAAAAACAAGAUCCCUUUUUCCUGGGAGAGAAGGCACCUGAAUUUAGGCCUGUCUUUGCCACCCACUAAGGAUGUGUGUGACAGUUUAGAGAGGCCUGAGAGCAGAGUGUUAGUGGUUGCUGUAAUGCCCUUUGUUGUUUCCAUAUAACUCCCAUUUCUGUGGGCACCAUCUGUUUGUUGGGAACUUUUUUUUUUGCCUCGUCAUUGCAGGCUUCAGGAAAUGCCAUCUUGCCAGGUGGCACCUCUGUUUGCUGCUGAUACAGCAGCUCCAGAAGCAGGUGCAGCCCGUGGGAUAAUGCAGCUUUGUGCCAGCCCAUUACAAGCCAUGGCCCAUUCAGGGAUUUGGAUGGGGUUAUUGCGUUAGCUCAGCUCCAUUUGGGAUGUGGGCAUUGCUUCUGAAGUGCCCCUGGCAGCUGACUUCUCACUUUGAUUUAUGCUAACCUUAGAGCUGCUGGUAAUUACAUGCAUGUUCUUGUAUUCAGGAGGCUUUUGCAGUCACCAAGGAGCAGGGACUUCUUCACGCAACACCAGGAGAAUGAAUUGUUCCUUUUGAUGGGCAUCUCAGACACUUUGGGGCACAUGAAAAGGCCUGCCUGUGUGUUCCUUCUUGUCAUGGAGGAAGGGCUGGUGGUGGAAGGAUUGAUAAUAACACUGCAGCUCUGAUCUCAAAGAGUUUCAGUACUAAUUUGCUGGUGUUUUGUCAGCCAAAAUACUGUGUGCAGAACAAUGGGUUUGCAUAGUGUGAUUCUGUGGCUCAUUAGCCUAGCUGGACGACUAGCUGGGAUUUGUUGUCUUCUUGACACCCCUUACAAACAGUGCAAGGGAAGGAGGGGCCAAUACACAUUUUUCCAUGGCACUUUAUUUACCUGAACUGAAUCCAAAGGGUCACAUCACAGAAAUGGUCAAAAAAUCUUUCUGUACUUGUGCCUCCUCUGUGAGUGCCCUGAAGAUAUCAUUUAGCUGGUGUUUUACACAGGAGAACUUGUUCUGAUCUGGGCAGGGACCACUAACAUUUCUGUCCAUUUCAUAUUUUAGAUCACAUUGCUUCAUGUAGAUUCUCAUUGAUGGUUUUCAUUUUCAUGCACUGCUGAAAAAGAUCAGAUGCAGUCAGAUGGCAGGAAGAGGAAUGGGAAGAGGAAUGGGAAGAGGA
Prinia subflava (tawny-flanked prinia) is the source of this 5501-nucleotide long non-coding RNA. RefSeq lists it as uncharacterized. The transcript is spliced from 6 exons. The record is from RefSeq and is a predicted model, not a curated record. NCBI's taxonomy places the organism in Eukaryota, Metazoa, Chordata, Aves, Passeriformes, Cisticolidae.